This 501-nucleotide ribosomal RNA is filed under the name uncultured Glomus. Its description in RNAcentral is "SSU rRNA". It matches the Rfam family "Eukaryotic small subunit ribosomal RNA", at positions 569 to 1074 of the family's 1831-position model. Lineage: Eukaryota; Fungi; Glomeromycota; Glomeromycetes; Glomerales; Glomeraceae. The record is from RNAcentral.
AGCAGCCGCGGUAAUUCCAGCUCCAAUAGCGUAUAUUAAAGUUGUUGCAGUUAAAAAGCUCGUAGUUGAAUUUCGGGGUCAAUUUAUUGGUCGUGCAAUAGUACGUACUGGUAUUAUUGGUUCCUACCUUCUGAUGAACCAUGAUGUCAUUAAUUUGGUGUUAUGGGGAAUCAGGACUGUUACUUUGAAAAAUUAGAGUGUUUAAAGCAGGCUCACGCUUGAAUACAUUAGCAUGGAAUAAUGAAAUAGGACGUAUGAUUCUAUUUUGUUGGUUUCUAGGAUCGACGUAAUGAUUAAUAGGGAUAGUUGGGGGCAUUAGUAUUCAAUUGUCAGAGGUGAAAUUCUUGGAUUUAUUGAAGACUAACUACUGCGAAAGCAUUUGCCAAGGAUGUUUUCAUUAAUCAAGAACGAAAGUUAGGGGAUCGAAGACGAUCAGAUACCGUCGUAGUCUUAACCAUAAACUAUGCCGACUAGGGAUCGGAUGAUGUUAAUUUUUAAUGA